CCUACGGGUGACAGCAGUGGGGGAUAUUGCACAAUGGGGGAAACCCUGAUGCAGCAACGCCGCGUGUGGGAAGAAGGUUUUCGGAUUGUAAACCACUGUUCUUGGUGAAGAUAAUGACGGUAACCAAGGAGAAAGCUCCGGCUAACUACGUUCCAGCAGCCGCAGUAAUACGUAGGGAGCAAGCGGUGUCCGGAUUUACUGGGUGUAAAGGGUGCGUAGGCGGUCUUGCAAGUCAGACGUGAAAACCGUAGGGUCAAACUGUGGCGUGCGGUUGAAACUGUGGGGCUUGAGUGAAGUCGGGGUAGGUGGAAUUCGUGGUGUAGCGGUGAAAUGCGUAGAGAUCACGAAGAACACCAGUCGCGAAGGCAGUGUACUGG
RNAcentral lists this ribosomal RNA (377 nucleotides) under uncultured bacterium. RNAcentral's name for it is "partial 16S ribosomal RNA". It matches the Rfam family "Bacterial small subunit ribosomal RNA", at positions 338 to 732 of the family's 1533-position model. The record is from RNAcentral.